GACGAACGCUGGCGGCGUGGAUUAGGCAUGCAAGUCGAACGGUAUCAUCCUUUCGGGGGUGAGAGAGUGGCGAACUGGUGAGUAACACGUAGGUUAUCUACCCUCAAGACGGGGACAACCCAGGGAAACUUGGGCUAAUACCGGAUGUGAGCAACUUUUAGUUGUUUGAAAGGUGGCGUAAGCUAUCGCUUGGGGAUGAGCCUGCGUCCUAUUAGUUAGUUGGUGAGGUAACGGCUCACCUAGGCAAUGAUAGGUAGGCGGCCUUAACGGGUGGUCGCCCACACUGGGAUUGAGAUACGGCCCAGACUCCUACGGGAGGCAGCAGUCGAGAAUAGUCUACAAUGGUCGGAAGACUGAUAGUGCGACGCCGCGUGAACGAUGAAUCCCUUCGGGGUGUAAAGUUCUUUUAUAUGUGAGCAGUGCUUCUUAUAUUAACAGUAUGGGGAGAGAGAUAUUAGCAUAUGAAUAAGCAACGGCUAACUCCGUGCCAGCAGCCGCGGU
Molecule: ribosomal RNA, 501 nt
Filed under: uncultured bacterium
Lineage: Bacteria
Description: bacterial SSU rRNA
Rfam family: Bacterial small subunit ribosomal RNA
Source: RNAcentral